Molecule: ribosomal RNA, 712 nt
Filed under: uncultured bacterium
Lineage: Bacteria
Description: bacterial SSU rRNA
Rfam family: Bacterial small subunit ribosomal RNA
Source: RNAcentral
GGGUGAGUAACGCGUAUGCAACCUGCCCGUUUCAGCGGGAUAACCCGGAGAAAUCCGGCCUAAUACCGCAUGUGGCCGAGGGGAGGCAUCUUCUUUCGGCCAAAGGGGGCGACUCCGGAGACGGAUGGGCAUGCGUGACAUUAGCUUGUUGGCGGGGUAACGGCCCACCAAGGCGACGAUGUCUAGGGGUUCUGAGAGGAAGGUCCCCCACACUGGUACUGAGACACGGACCAGACUCCUACGGGAGGCAGCAGUGAGGAAUAUUGGUCAAUGGGCGAGAGCCUGAACCAGCCAAGUCGCGUGAAGGAUGACGGCCCUACGGGUUGUAAACUUCUUUUGUCAGGGAGCAAUUGGGUCCACGCGUGGGCUUAGCGAGAGUACCUGAAGAAAAAGCAUCGGCUAACUCCGUGCCAGCAGCCGCGGUAAUACGGAGGAUGCGAGCGUUAUCCGGAUUUAUUGGGUCUAAAGGGUGCGUAGGCGGAAUAUCAAGUCAGCGGUAAAAAUUCGGGGCUCAACCCCGUCGUGCCGUUGAAACUGAUGUUCUUGAGUGGGCGAGAAGUAUGCGGAAUGCGUGGUGUAGCGGUGAAAUGCAUAGAUAUCACGCGGAACUCCGAUUGCGAAGGCAGCAUACCGGCGCCCAACUGACGCUGAAGCACGAAAGCGUGGGUAUCGAACAGGAUUAGAUACCCUGGUAGUCCACGCAGUAAACGAU